Molecule: RNA transcript, 4645 nt
Organism: Alligator sinensis (Chinese alligator)
Lineage: Eukaryota; Metazoa; Chordata; Crocodylia; Alligatoridae
Gene: PURG
Gene name: purine rich element binding protein G
Exons: 3
Source: RefSeq, a predicted model, not a curated record
UGUCUCUGGUGUGUGUCAUUUCCAGCUGACUGGUAAAGAUGGAGAAGGGGAGAGGAGGAGGAGGAGGAAGGAGCCUGGGAGGCUCCGGCUUGCACAGGAGCGUGUACUCCCAGUCUCAGCAGCAGUAUCAGUACUCAGCCUCCUCUCCAGGCGGCUGCAUGGAGAUCCAGGAGCUGGCCUCCAAGAGGGUGGACAUCCAGAAAAAGCGAUUUUACCUGGAUGUGAAGCAGAGCUCCCGAGGGCGCUUCCUGAAGAUAGCAGAGGUCUGGAUAGGAAGGGGGAGGCAAGACAACAUCAGGAAAAGUAAACUGACUCUCUCCUUGUCCGUGGCAGCCGAGCUGAAGGAUUGCCUGGGCGAUUUCAUUGAACACUAUGCCCAUUUGGGCCUAAAAGGCAGCCAUAGUCAUAGACAUGAGCACAGUAAUGGCAAAGAGCAGGAUCUGAGGAGGCGGCAGCCGCAUCAUCCUCCUUCCCCUCCCACAUCUGUUGGAUCUGAAGAACAUCCCCAUAGUGUCCUGAAAACUGAGUACAUAGAAAGAGACAACAGAAAAUAUUACUUAGAUCUAAAGGAGAAUCAGCGUGGGCGCUUCCUAAGGAUUAGACAAACUAUGAUCAGAGGACCUGGCAUGAUAGGCUAUUUUGGCCACAGUUUGGGACAGGAACAGACUAUUGUCCUUCCGGCGCAAGGGAUGAUUGAAUUCAGGGAUGCUUUGGUCCAGCUAAUUGAAGAGUACGGUGAGGGGGAUAUAGAGGAACGAAGAAGUGGGGGUGAUGAGCCCCCUGAACUUCCAGAGGGGACUUCCUUCAGGGUGGACAACAAGCGAUUCUAUUUUGAUGUGGGAUCCAACAGUAAUGCUGUAGGUUACAGACUUGGACCCUAGUUCCACUGAAGUGAGUUGGAGUUCUGCCAGUUAUUUCAAUGGAAACAGGACUGGGCCAGUUUCCUUAUACAGGUGAGAAUCCAAGACACAGUGUAAUUCCGGCAAUGCUGUCUUCAGCACACCAUCAUCCUUCCUGACAGACCUGCCAAGACAAGAACAGUUUGAAAAAUAUUAGUCCUUUGGUGGGAAAUUUUCAAAGACUAUCAAUUGUUGCAAGAAGUGGUGAUUAGAGUUGUCACUCAUCUCUCUGAGUUAGUACUUGACUUGUGAUUGAAUCAUUAGUGACAGCCAUUGCAAACAUUGUAUUGGAGAGCUGUUUCUGUAAGUGCUGUUUCUUGAAACAGAUCUGGACCAUUUACUGUGGUCAGAUACCAUUGCUUUUAGCGAUAUAAAAAUUAAUUCCUGGUUCCUGGCUAAAUUUUGAUUUGGUUAAUUAUAUUCUACCAAACUAAUUUCCCGCAGCAUUUUCAGUUGUAUACAAUUCUUUUCCUCUUUCCACCCUGAAAUUCAAGCUAGUACUGUUACAUUUAGUUAAAAAACUGUUGAAUUUCAUCCCAAAAGCUGUAGUAUUUUGUAGUAGGUAGAGCAAUCUCCACACUCCCCUUAUCAAUCACACUUACUGGGACACAUGCAUAUUAUAAACAUUAAUAAAACACUUUACAAACAAGAGCAGGGGCCUGAACUUAAAGACUUUGGAGGUCUGUUCCAACUCUGUGCCCUGCUUUUCUAUCGCCAAGGGAGUCAGUACACAAGAACAAUGAAUGAAAAGUAGAUCUUUUUUAUUUUAGUUGUGCACAGUUAUUUUAGAACAGCAAUAAAAUUCUACACUUUCAAAGAUGAAACAGUUUAGCAGUUCCAGGACAUAAGGUAUGCAUAAGAAUACAGUCCAUCCAAGACCAGAAAGCAUUAUUUUUCUGAAGAUGAACUGAGGGAUUGACCCUGCAAACUCACAGCUUACAGUAUUCUUAAUGAUACCAUUGGGAAUUCUUUUGGAAUUGGGUCAAAAUGCAAUUGCUAUACUAUCUAUAUAACAGUUGUCUCAUUAAUUAGUAACAUAGCUUUUUUUAAGAAUAUUUACAUUUUUUAACAAUUGAGCAGAAAAUUGGUAAGACCACAGAGGAUGGAGGAAACCAUUACCUGAAAUUGGUUUUAUGCUACACCAGACUUAUUAUCUUUGCAGUAAACUGCAUGUAAUCUUAAAAAAAAAAAAAAAAAAAAGGUUCCCUAAUGGCCUUAUGCUUUUUGGUAAAGAAAGAUCUCAAAUUUCUUCUGAUAUUCUACAGUAUAUUUCAUAGAGGAAUCACUUUAUAUAGCACUGGAAAAUAGCAUUUAUUUGUGAAGUGCAAGUGCCUUCAACUUCUGGUCACAAAAACUGAGUAGUCUUUGUGCCUGAAAGCGUGUCUAACAUAGCUCCCAACUAUGCGGUUGGUCUAACAAAAGAUAUCACUAAAAUGUCUUGCUUCUUGCAUAUUUCCUGGACCAUUAUGGCUUCAAACCACAUUCUAAACUUGCUGAUAAAGUAUUCUUGGGUAAAAUGUGCUUUUUUUGAACCAUUUAUAUGUGUAAAAAGUUCACAUAAUGACAGAGAGCAAAACAGGUAGAAAGCACAAAUUUGACCUAGUCUUGCCCUUUAUGGGCACGUCCAAUCAAGCAUGGAAGUUUGGUUCCCUGGGGAGAAGUAACAGUAGCGCACCUUGUGCCACCGUUACUUGUCGCCAGGGAACGCCUGUGCCAUGCGUGCUUUGGCACGUGGCAAGUUACCCUGGGUGGGGUAGGGGAGGCUGGGACCAGCACUGGGCUGGCCCCAGCAGCCUUACCUGGGUCCUGGGGGCCUCCCGGGGCUGCAGCAGAAGAGAUUCUGCCUUGGAGAGCCUGGCCAGCAACUACAGCACAGCUCUGGGCAGCCCAGCUUUGCUUUUGAGCAGUGCACCCUGCCUGUGCGUUUGCUGCUCCACUUUUUUUCUGCAGGUUUUUUUGACCCCUGGAUAUCCCUUGCAGCGCUCCCUUGCAGCAGAGAACAUCUAAAUGUGCAGUAUGUGGUGCUGCAGACAUGUUUGUGGUGCCACAUACCGUAUGGCCUCGCUCAUCUGAAUGCGGCCUGUGUGUUCUUUCAUCAUUGUAAGUCAACAAUGGAUGUAAUGCAUCAAGACUUGUCUGUAUGACAGUGAAGGGAAGCUUUCUGAUUAACACAUUAUUAAUUUCACUUUUUAACUUUAAUUAUAGGUAUUUGCGAAUUAUUAAAGUCUAGUUAAAAGAAUACAAAAGUAAACUGUAAAAACAGUUUUGAUAUUUAAGUUCUGAUACUCCUGAACAUUCAGUGUAAACAGUGUUUGAUUCUUAAAAAUUGAAAGCUAAAAACAGUGUUAGUAAAAAUGUUAUAUAAGAAAGUAAAACUGUAAAUUGCGAGUGCCUUUUUAGUGCUUAUUGUGAAAAUGCAUUUAAACAUAUUCCAGAACUUUUUUGUAAUAUUGCUUUCAGGGUUGUCAGGAAAAUGCAACCCACAUUGUUUUAGUUAAAGUCUGCAAAUGUAGCCCAAUUAGUGGUUCUUUUCAAAUGGUUUCUAACAAUGAAAUGCCAUUACAUUUUUUAUGAAUGUUCUAAUCUUUGAGUAUUUGGUAAAUCAAGUGUGUAGGUAAGUAUAUACGUGAAAGAGGAUAGAUUCAUGAGGUGUGAUAUGGUACAAAGCUUUUAUCAGUAUGGCCUAGAGAUUAUCUUCUGAAUGAAUUGAAUUAGUGCAAUCUAUCCCAUAUGCGCACCAAUAAAACUUGUACCACAUGCCACCACAUAUACAAUAACACGCAUUAUUUUAGGAGGGUUUUAGAAUGUAUAGCAGCUAUACUGGGACUAGUGUUGUAUCCUUCACACUGCUAAUACCAGAUUAGUUAAUAACCACUUGUGUAAGUUUCUAGGGCAGUGAUUCUCAACCUUUUUAGAUUUGAGGCAUCCUUCAGAAAAUGCUAACUCCUAGUUUCACUUGUUUUUUGAUGCCUAAAUAAUCAUAUAGCAGUGUUUCUAUUCCAAAGAACUCAGAAAAACCACAACAUUUCAAAAUAUUUUUAACACUAUGAAUUCCUAUUUGAAAUCUCUGAAUAUCUUGUGAAUCAUAUUUGCUCACCGAAAAUUGCAUGGUACUCUUGCACCCUUGAAAGGAUUUCAAGGCAUCCCAGGAUGCUGCAGGUUAAGAAUCACUUGUUCUAGGGCUAUGGAAGUCCCGUUAAAUUUUUAAAGUUACAUUUUAGAUGCACCUUCCUCAUAGAAACAGUCAUGACUUAAAAAUCUACGGCCUGUAAGUUUAUAUAAUGAGUACCUUGUAAUAACAGAAAUAUGAGAUGAUAGCUUCCCAGUGAGAUGUGUAAGAGUUGUCUGUAGCCUCACAUAGCUCCAAAAUCACUUACAUUAAAACAAUAUUCAAAUAGAGGCAGCAUGUUCCUCUUCUGAGGCUCAGGCAGGUGUCAUGGGAUGGGAAAUAGAAAGAAAAUGUUUCCACGGCAGGUGACUCAUUGUAAAUAGCAGCUGUCUGAAGCAGUUGAGGAGAUUGAAAUGUUAGAAGUCCUGGAAAGUAGAGAGCAGAUGAGGCAAAUAAUCACGACAAAUUAAUAUAUCAAGUGGCUCUGUUGUUUAGCAUGUGGACAUCCACAUACUUUUUGUGGAUAAGUAUUUGCCCAUCCAGCCUGCCAGCCAAAAAGGUGGAGCACCACGGGCCUAAUGUUACAUACAUGGAAUCAUAGGGCUGGAAGGGGCUGUCACCAGUCAUCUAAUCCAAC